AGUUCAUGGUCAGACGCUCAGACUGACGGCGACAGCGACGGCGGCCUGUGCUGUGCUCCGGGCUCCGUGCUGCGCUCACUGACUCCGAGCACUGAGACUACCAUUGGUACCCCGAGUACUUGUGCUGCUUCCCGUUUGACAUCCAGCAACAAAGGCUGUGGAGACGGGGAGCGCCUCCUAGUCGCAGACCGCGCCGCCACCGGCGCCCUGCUCAGCGUGCUACCAGCGACGUGUUGCGGACAGGAAUCCACAACAGCCGACUUCUGCA
Molecule: long non-coding RNA, 268 nt
Organism: Schistocerca nitens (vagrant locust)
Lineage: Eukaryota; Metazoa; Arthropoda; Insecta; Orthoptera; Acrididae
Exons: 3
Source: RefSeq, a predicted model, not a curated record